This 77-nucleotide transfer RNA is filed under the name Veillonella sp. RNAcentral's name for it is "tRNA-Met". It matches the Rfam family "tRNA". Rfam says of the family: Transfer RNA (tRNA) molecules are approximately 80 nucleotides in length. Lineage: Bacteria; Bacillati; Bacillota; Negativicutes; Veillonellales; Veillonellaceae. The record is from RNAcentral.
AGCGGAGUAGUCCAAUGGAAGAGACACUGGUCUCAUAAGCCAGUAUAGUGUGAGUUCAAGUCUCACCUCCGCUUCCA